UUUCCUACGGGGGGCAGCAGUAGGGAAUCUUCCACAAUGGACGAAAGUCUGAUGGAGCAACGCCGCGUGAGUGAAGAAGUAUCUCGGUACGUAAAGCUCUAUCAGCAGGGAAGAAAAAAAGUCUUUGGCUUUGGACGGUACCUGACUAAGAAGCCCCGGCUAACUACGUGCCAGCAGCCGCGGUAAUACGUAGGGGGCAAGCGUUAUCCGGAUUUACUGGGUGUAAAGGGUGCGUAGACGGCAGCGCAAGUCUGGAGUGACAUGCCGGGGCUCAACCCCGGAACUGCUUUGGAAACUGUGCAGCU
Molecule: ribosomal RNA, 305 nt
Filed under: uncultured bacterium
Lineage: Bacteria
Description: bacterial SSU rRNA
Rfam family: Bacterial small subunit ribosomal RNA
Source: RNAcentral